UCUCACCGAAGCGGCUGCCACCCGGAGC
This 28-nucleotide small RNA is filed under the name Bombyx mori (domestic silkworm). RNAcentral describes it as "ovarian small RNA-29569". The record is from RNAcentral. Lineage: Eukaryota; Metazoa; Arthropoda; Insecta; Lepidoptera; Bombycidae.